Molecule: transfer RNA, 87 nt
Filed under: Thermotogota bacterium ADurb.Bin062
Lineage: Bacteria; Thermotogati; Thermotogota
Also listed under: 2 other names
Description: Thermotogae bacterium ADurb.Bin062 tRNA-Ser
Rfam family: tRNA
About the family: Transfer RNA (tRNA) molecules are approximately 80 nucleotides in length. Their secondary structure includes four short double-helical elements and three loops (D, anti-codon, and T loops). Further hydrogen bonds mediate the characteristic L-shaped molecular structure. tRNAs have two regions of fundamental functional importance: the anti-codon, which is responsible for specific mRNA codon recognition, and the 3' end, to which the tRNAs corresponding amino acid is attached (by aminoacyl-tRNA synthetases). tRNAs cope with the degeneracy of the genetic code in two manners: having more than one tRNA (with a specific anti-codon) for a particular amino acid; and 'wobble' base-pairing, i.e. permitting non-standard base-pairing at the 3rd anti-codon position.
Source: RNAcentral
GCCGAGAUGGCGGAAUUGGCAGACGCGUAUGAUUCAGGUUCAUAUGGGAGUAUUCCUUUGCGGGUUCAAGUCCCGCUCUCGGCACCA